This 448-nucleotide ribosomal RNA is filed under the name uncultured prokaryote. RNAcentral describes it as "bacterial SSU rRNA". It matches the Rfam family "Bacterial small subunit ribosomal RNA", at positions 355 to 796 of the family's 1533-position model. The record is from RNAcentral.
UCGGGAAUCUUGCACAAUGGGCGAAAGCCUGAUGCAGCAACGCCGUGUGAGCGAGGAAGGCCUUCGGGUCGUAAAGCUCUGUUGUUGGGGACGAAGGGCGAAGGGUUAAUAGCCCCCAGACUGACGGUACCCUUCGAGGAAGCACCGGCUAACUACGUGCCAGCAGCCGCGGUAAUACGUAGGGGGCGAGCGUUGUCCGGAAUUACUGGGCGUAAAGCGCGCGUAGGCGGACUAUUAAGUCAGGGGUGAUAUCCCGGGGCUCAACCCCGGAACUGCCUUUGAUACUGGUAGUCUUGAGUUCGAGAGAGGUGAGUGGAAUUCCGAGUGUAGAGGUGAAAUUCGUAUAUAUUCGGAGGAAAACCAGUGGCGAAGGCGGCUCACUGGCUCGAUACUGACGCUGAGGUGCGAAAGUGUGGGGAGCAAACAGGAUUAGAUACCCCUGUAGUCC